GGUUAACUAAGUUCUUUUCUUUCAGCCAGCAUCGCGACGGAAGAGAAAAUGAUCAUCGAACCAUUGCCCAUUCGCAUCGAUUUCCGAUCGUUUCGAAAUGUGGGGACUCGUUCUCUUCUUCUGUGGAUUGGGAGGUAGGUUAAUCUUGCAUUCGUUACCAAUAAUUUUGUUGUUCGAUUCAUUCAGCGAAGUUUUUUUAAACAGUUUGUCAUUCGAAAGAAGAUUUUCUGAAAACUUUUCUUUUAUUUUGUGCUGGAAUUUGUGAGGAACCGCCAUGGCGAGUAACACGUGGAUUCUCUGAUUGGUGAGGUGCUAGGCAAGGUUGGAGGAGAAGAAAAAAAAGGACUACUCCCAUCAAAAUACUGGUUUUUCUAGCGGUGGCGAGAGCAACUAAGCAUGCAGCACAGAUUGACAUGAUCCUAGAGGAAGGUGAGUGAUUGGGGGAUCUUUCUGAGAUCAAUAUGUACCAGAUGCAUCAACGUCGUAGCUGGAUGCACCAGAAGUCAUGAAGCCUGAAAAUAACAAGUUAUAUUGCUUGCGCACUUAAACGCAGAGCUACUAAAGCAAAACUUCACAGCGCAGUAAGGCAUUUUUCGGACAAUUUUUAAACUGCAUCGCAUCUCGGACCAAUAUAACGAAUUCAAUUCAUGUUUAUCUCAUGACGAACUUCACAGCUGGAAGAAGUAGCUUUAUCUAUCAUAACUAAUGGCCUCUUUGAUCAAGAUACAAGGAAUGUAUCGACAAGGUGGAGGGCUGGCUAGCUAGUGAAGCAGCUGUAGUGAGGGAGGACAAGCCAGCCACAUGCAACUGAAUUGAACAAGUAGACCACUUAUAGACAUUGAUUGUUAGAUAAAAAAGUGUUAAAAAGUUUCUUGAUUUAAAAGAAAAUUGAGAUGUGUCAGAGUAGAAAAUGUGUGUUAAUUAAGGCAGUUGUUCACUAGGACAGGGGGUAGUUCCACCCCUUAAUUGCCCCUCAUAAUGAAGCUACAAGAAAAGCUCACAAUGCAUCCAUGAACUUGUGCUUCCAUGGCUCUAUACUCGUAUCCCCUCUUUCUUUGGUUUAUUUACUUCAUUAAUACAACAAUGAGUCCAGUAAUUAACAGGUAUUUAACAGGACAGUGCAUGCGGAUACAAAUAAUUAAUUAAUCAAUUAAGCUUUUGUUGAUUAAUUAGGGGCGACCAAGAAUUAAUCAUCAUAA
This is a long non-coding RNA of Zingiber officinale, 1199 nucleotides long. RefSeq lists it as uncharacterized. The record is from RefSeq and is a predicted model, not a curated record. The transcript is spliced from 5 exons. Lineage: Eukaryota; Viridiplantae; Streptophyta; Magnoliopsida; Zingiberales; Zingiberaceae.